RNAcentral lists this ribosomal RNA (473 nucleotides) under uncultured bacterium. Its description in RNAcentral is "SSU rRNA". It matches the Rfam family "Bacterial small subunit ribosomal RNA", at positions 26 to 518 of the family's 1533-position model. The record is from RNAcentral.
AGGACGAACGCUGGCGGCGUGCUUAACACAUGCAAGUCGAGCGGAAAGGCCCUUCGGGGUACUCGAGCGGCGAACGGGUGAGUAACACGUGAGUAAUCUGCCCCUAGCUCUGGGAUAGCUCCGGGAAACCGGGAUUAAUACCAGAUACGACCACUUUAGACAUCUGUUGUGGUGGAAAGAAUUUUGGCUAGGGAUGAGCUCGCGGCCUAUCAGCUUGUUGGUGAGGUAACGGCUCACCAAGGCGACGACGGGUAGCCGGCCUGAGAGGGCGACCGGCCACACUGGGACUGAGACACGGCCCAGACUCCUACGGGAGGCAGCAGUGGGGAAUAUUGCGCAAUGGGCGAAAGCCUGACGCAGCGACGCCGCGUGGGGGAUGAAGGCCUUCGGGUUGUAAACCCCUUUCAGCAGGGACGAAGCGAAGUGACGGUACCUGCAGAAGAAGCGCCGGCUAACUACGUGCCAGCAGCCGC